This 459-nucleotide ribosomal RNA is filed under the name uncultured bacterium. RNAcentral's name for it is "partial 16S ribosomal RNA". It matches the Rfam family "Bacterial small subunit ribosomal RNA", at positions 338 to 795 of the family's 1533-position model. The record is from RNAcentral.
CCUACGGGAGGCAGCAGUGAGGAAUAUUGGUCAAUGGUCGGGAGACUGAACCAGCCAAGCCGCGUGAGGGAUGAAGGUACAGAGUAUCGUAAACCUCUUUUGUCAGGGAACAAAGGCGGGGACGCGUCCCCGGAUGAGUGUACCUGAAGAAAAAGCAUCGGCUAACUCCGUGCCAGCAGCCGCGGUAAUACGGAGGAUGCGAGCGUUAUCCGGAUUUAUUGGGUUUAAAGGGUGCGCAGGCGGUCUGUUAAGUCAGUGGUAAAAGCCCGGGGCUCAACCCCGGCCCGCCGUUGAAACUGGCAGUCUCGAGUUGGAGAGAAGUAUGCGGAAUGCGCGGUGUAGCGGUGAAAUGCAUAGAUAUCGCGCAGAACUCCGAUUGCGAAGGCAGCAUGCCGGCUCCACACUUACGCUGAGGCACGAAAGCGUGGGUAUCGAACAGGAUUAGAUACCCUUGUAGUC